UACGUAGGGGGCUAGCGUUGUCCGGAUUUAUUGGGCGUAAAGAGCGUGUAGGCGGCCCGAUAAGUCCGCCGUGAAAGUCCAGGGCUCAACCCUGGAAUGCCGGUGGAAACUGUCGGGCUGGAGUCCGGAAGAGGCGAGUGGAGUUCCUGGUGUAGCGGUGAAAUGCGCAGAUAUCAGGAGGAACACCAAUGGCGAAGGCAGCUCGCUGGGACGGUACUGACGCUGAGGCGCGAAAGCGUGGGGAGCAAACAGG
This 253-nucleotide ribosomal RNA is filed under the name uncultured bacterium. Its description in RNAcentral is "partial 16S ribosomal RNA". It matches the Rfam family "Bacterial small subunit ribosomal RNA", at positions 524 to 776 of the family's 1533-position model. The record is from RNAcentral.